AACCUAAGAUAACUAUACUAUAUCUAUGAUACCACAAAUCAUAAUUUUUAUUAAACUACUUAAGU
Molecule: transfer RNA, 65 nt
Filed under: Deroplatys desiccata
Lineage: Eukaryota; Metazoa; Arthropoda; Insecta; Mantodea; Mantidae
Description: tRNA-His
Source: RNAcentral